ACCGGCGCACGGUGAGUAACGCGUAUGCAACUUGCCUAUCAGGAGGGGGAGUAACCCGGCGAAAGUCGGACUAAUACCGCAUGAAGCAGGGAUCCCGCAUGGGGAUAUUUGCUAAAGAUUCAUCGCUGAUAGAUAGGCAUGCGUUCCAUUAGGCAGUUGGCGGGGUAACGGGCCCACCAAACCGACGAUGGAUAGGGGUUCUGAGAGGAAGGUCCCCCACAUUGGUACUGAGACACGGACCAAACUCCUACGGGAGGCAGCAUG
RNAcentral lists this ribosomal RNA (264 nucleotides) under uncultured bacterium. RNAcentral describes it as "partial 16S ribosomal RNA". It matches the Rfam family "Bacterial small subunit ribosomal RNA", at positions 94 to 353 of the family's 1533-position model. The record is from RNAcentral.